Molecule: small RNA, 1043 nt
Filed under: Pan troglodytes (chimpanzee)
Lineage: Eukaryota; Metazoa; Chordata; Mammalia; Primates; Hominidae
Description: retained intron
Source: RNAcentral
ACGGCCGUGUCCCUCUGUGCGUGAGCCAGGGACUCAGGCCUCAGACAGGGCUCUCCCUUGUAGUGAGCAGAGUGGCCCUGGCCCUUAUUUGAGGCGGUCACCUGGGUGCUGCUACUGCUGCCACUCCAGGGCUGCUUUGCGGAGCCACUGUCUUUGGGCUGUAGCUCUCACCACUCUUUCCCAGCAGGCGUGGGUUCUUAGACUUUAGUGGGCCACCUUUCACUGGAAAGCGUGCUUCCUUCCCAACAGAGCAAGCGGACCAACUUGAAGAAGCCCAACUCGGAGCGGACGGGGCACGGGCUGAGAGUCCGGUUUAACCCCCUGGCACUGCUCCUAGACGCGUCUCUGGAAGGAGAGUUCGAUCUGGUGCAGAGGAUCAUCUAUGAGGUGAGCUGCAGCCGGGGACCCGUGCACGCUGCUGGGGGCGAGGGGAUGGGCGCUCACAGGCCAUGUGUCCUAGGUGGAAGAUCCCAGCAAGCCCAACGACGAAGGGAUCACCCCACUGCACAACGCCGUCUGCGCCGGCCACCAUCACAUCGUGAAGUUCCUGCUGGAUUUUGGUGUCAACGUGAAUGCUGCUGAUAGUGAUGGAUGGACGCCGCUGCACUGCGCUGCCUCUUGUAACAGCGUUCACCUCUGCAAACAGCUGGUGGAGAGUGGUGCCGCCAUUUUUGCCUCAACCAUAAGCGACAUUGAAACUGCUGCAGACAAGUGUGAGGAGAUGGAGGAAGGCUACAUCCAGUGCUCCCAGUUUCUAUAUGGGGUGCAGGAAAAGCUGGGUGUGAUGAACAAAGGUGUGGUGUAUGCUCUGUGGGACUACGAGGCCCAGAACAGUGACGAGCUGUCCUUCCACGAAGGGGACGCCCUCACCAUCCUGAGGCGCAAGGACGAAAGCGAGACUGAGUGGUGGUGGGCUCGCCUUGGAGACCGGGAGGGCUAUGUGCCCAAAAACCUGCUGGGGCUGUAUCCACGGAUCAAACCCCGACAGCGAACACUGGCCUGAACUUCCUUUUGGAGCACCGCAUGGUCUUGCCAGCUACCAG